GAAGAUCAUGCAAGACAGUAUCCAGAGCUUCACUAAAGUCAAGAUGUACCACAUCUACCCCUUCCCCCCAUUCACUAGGCUUGUCACCCUGUCACAGAAAGCUGUCAGCUUGGUUUGACACGAUUUGUUUUUGACAAAUCCAGGCUGACUGUUACUUAUCACCUGAUUAUCUUCUAGAUGUUUGCAACCGAGCCCACUGCCCACCCUGUGUCCUAGGUACGGUACCUCUGUGGCCCCUGGGUUGCAUGUGGACACCUGGCUUCUCUAAGCCUCUGCAAUACAAUUCCCACAUUGGUCAGAGGGUCUGCCAGGAGUCACUAAAGAUAGCCAGGUUGUCUCCGUAGGGCCUUGAGAAGGUCUGUGAUCCCUGCAGCACCUCCUUGACAAGCCUCUGGAAGGUGGUCCCCAUAUUAAUUAACCCAGAAGGCAUAAUCCUAAACUCCUACAGGCCAGACUCUGCUCUGGAAGCUAAUUUUGCCUGGGCAGCGCUGCUAAAGGAAUUUGCCAAUACACUGGAGUCAAACCAGAGUGCUUCUGAAUCUUGCACCCCCCGUUAGAUCCAGGAGGUCCUUUCUCGAGGGUGUGGGGUACAGGUCAGGUUGGAUGACAGUGGUCACCCUAACAAAAUCCACACACAACCUCGUGCGUUUAGGCCUGUUAGGUACUUUCACCACUGGAGACGCCCGGGGCUUUUUUGAUUCAGUCACCCCCACCUCCAGCAUGCAGUCCACCUCCUCCUGAAUGCAUCUUUGUGUCACCCCUUUGGCACUGUUACCCACACACUCCAGGGCACCCACCCUUCCCUUCCAUGAGCUCAAUGCAGAACCCAGUUAAUUUAGGCACCCCCCCUUACCCUGUUCUCCAGGCAAAAGGCGCCCCCCCUUACCCUAUUCUCGGGGCUCCAGGUGAAAAGCGCCCCCCCCUUACCCCGUUCCCAGGGUGAAAGGCAUCCCCCCUUACCCCAUUCUCCGGGCGAAAGGUGCCCCCCGUUACCCCAUUCUCGGGGCUCCAGGUGAAAGACGCCCCCCCUUACCCCAUUCCUGGGGCAAAAGGCGCCCCCCCUUAUUCUCCAGGCGAAAGGCACCCGUUCUCAGGGCUCCAGAUAAAAGGCGCGCCCCCUUUCCCCGUUCCCAGGGCGAAAGCUGCCCCCCCCUUGUGCAGGUUUGUUAAAGAGCCUUACACAGUAAUAUCCUUAACCUCUGUUUAAGAGCUGUUACCAAACCAGAAUGUACACGCGGCGCACACAGCGCACACCGCUCCCAAUAACACGGACAAACUUUUCUUGGUGGCCAGUCAGGAGCAGAUCACCUGGGGACUCGUUUCCUGCCCGGCGUCAUUGGCAGGGUGCUGAGGUCCGGAAACUCUGAGCAUUGGGGAUGGGGCCUGGACUUGGUUCCAGAGAACUCCCCUUUGCCCCAGUGUAUACCGUGAAACUUGGGUCCUGCUUAGCUGGGCCGGAAUCAGUCGGGAACCAAAGUGCUGCAAAGCAGCGUUUUUCCCCCAGCCCAGCCCCAUACGAACCAGUUCCUAAUCCAGUUGUGACGAGAAGCCUGGGGUUCAGCCUGGGGCCGGGGGGCUGCUGUGCCCCCUGAGCUCUCCCCAGUCUGGGAGUGGGGGGCCGCUGGGCCCCCUGAGCUCUCCCCAGCCUGGGGCCGCUGGGCCCCCUGAGCUCUCCCCAGCCAGAGGCCAGGGGGCCGCUGUGCCCCCUGAGCUCUCCCCAGCCUGGGGCCGGGGGGCCACUGUGCCCCCUGAGCUCUCCCCAGCCUGGGGCCGCUGGGCCCCCUGAGCUCUCCCCAGCCUGGGAGCGGGGGGCCGCUGUGCCCCCUGAGCUCUCCCCAGCCUGGGGCCGGGGGGCUGCUGUGCCCCCUGAGCUCUCCCCAGCCUGGGGCCGGGGGGCCGCUGUGCCCCCUGAGCUCUCCCCAGCCUGGGGCCGCUGGGCCCCCUGAGCUCUCCCCAGCCUGGGGCCGCUGGGCCCCCUGAGCUCUCCCCAGCCUGGGACUGGGGUGUUGCUGGGCCCCCUGAGCUCUCCCCCGCUUGCGCUGUCUCUCGCAAUGCCCUGCUAGUGACCAGCAGCAACCCCUCCCGGUGCUCUUGUCACUCUGCCCAGCCACGUGGAGCCCCACACCCAGCAUGGAUGCUCCCAGAGCCACUUCCGAAUCACACAGAAAAGGGCACCCGCCAAAUGCCCCCAGCUCCCAGCGUCGUGCCUCAGGAACCUACCGUCUUGCACUGCUCAAGCCGGGCAGUGCAGAUUUAUUAGCUGGUUCCCCACAUCAUCGAUGGAAAGUGGACAUACGCCAGCCUUUGUGACCUGAGCAGAUUGACGAGAAACUUCCUACAAACUAACUGGUAAAGAUAAAUGGUAAAAAAGUGUACUGGCUACAAAAGAUUGAUUUUAAGUGAUUAUAAGAGAGAGGCAAAAAGUCAGAGUUAGUUACCGGAGGAAACAAAAUAAGCGCAGUCUGAGUCUCAGGCCUGUAAGACACUAGGCAGUGUUUAGAUCCUGCGUUUCUCGCCCCACGGCAUAUUGCACUUCAUAAUAUACAGCUUUCACCCUGGGAGCCUGGGCCUGUCCUCCUUGUUGGAGUAUUCUGAGCGCCCUUGUUCCUUGCAGCGUAGGUGGGGCAGGAGAAAGGCCCAGUGCGGGGCCCCUGUGUCUUUUACACCCUCACUCCAUGUGCUUGGGACACACGAGUCCAGGCUUGUCUGGGGUGUUGCUGAGUCCCCAGGCCAGGCGGAGCAAUUCCCGCGGUGGGGCCUCGUGCAGGGGAGUCCUUGCAGCCUGGCUCCCUUGCUGGACAAUGGCUGGUGAUGGUUGUUCGACACCCACCCGGGCGUUGUAACUUUCCUCUGGGGAGCUGAUACCUGGCGAUUCCCCAGCUCACAGCGUGUUUCACAUGCUCUCCUAAGUUCACCUGCACUAAUGGUGCACCUAUUUCAAUAACAGGGGCUUUCAAACUUCAUUGCACCGCAACGCCCUCCUGGCAACAGAAAUUAUUACAUGACCCCAGGAAGGGGGACCAAAGCGUGAGCCCAGCCGCCCGGCACAGGGGGGCCUGUAACCUGAGCCCUGCCACCUGGAGCUCAAGCCCUCGGUCUUGGGCUUUGGCCCGGACUCCAGCAAAUCUAACGCCAGCCCCGGGGACCCCAUUAAAUCAGAGUCCCGACCUGCUUUGGUGUACCGACUCCUAGGUUGAGAGAACCGUACCUCACAUGUCAUGCUUUACAUGCAAUAUCACAGUUCUAUCGAAUGAAUUGGGGGGACAGGGCGCUCCCCCCGAGGUAUCUGUGUCACACCAAUCCGACCCCACCACCUUAGCUGAUUUAAAUCUUGCAAAAUUAGUUAUGCAGCUGUCAUGGACUCCCAGGCCCCGGGCGCUCUCAGCUCCAUACGGCCCCUGGGAGUAACCUCCUUCAGUGUGACAUCCCUCCACGAAGGCUGCUCUCUCUCUUCGGGGCUAGACCCUCUGUCCCUGCCGCCUCCUUGGAGCGCACCUCACUGACCCUUCAGCAUGCUUGUCUCUCAUGGUGGGCACCCACAGGGAGUCCACUCACGCGGGGCCCCACCCCAGAGGAGCCAUGCCGCCGAUCUCUAGCCUGCAGUGACUCAGCCAGCGUAACACAGGAGGUUUGCUGAACAUCUGAACCCAGCCCAGGCAGGUCUCAGCACCAUCGAGCUGGGUCUGUCCCCGUCCCCAUGGGCUCUGGCUGCUCUCUCCCCCCCAGUCCAGCGCCCCUCCUUCUGGCCAACCAUCCUUCACCAGCCAUGGAUGUUUCCCUGUUAACAGACCUGUUCCUUGGCCUCUGCCCCUCUGCAACAUUUCUUUCUAUACCGUUAAAGUGCUCGUUAAUCCUUUUCUGCCUAACGCAGUAUCCCCCUUUUUUAACACAAUACACAGCGCUAGCCACAAGACAGACAGACAUGCACGCAACACAAUCUUCAUCACAACAGUAGAUCGUGGGAUUCUGGGCUGCUUUUCUGCUGGCACCAGCUUUUCCUGAAGCUCUGAAAGACACAACGAAAAUGUUUCUACCCUCUUUAGAGGGUGGCAGAUUAUUGCUUAAAAUACCCCUUCCUUUUACAAAUCCUUCCUUGCUGGCUGCAGGCAGGCAGAGGAAUUACCUCCUGCUUCCCUGUGCUUUGUUCUAUAGGCGGGGGACUUAGCCCCCUGCUCAGUCAUGACACUCAUGACGGGACGUACCUCAGUUUCCCUGUGUAUACAGCAGGACAGGUUUGUCGUGUGUCUGUGCUGUGCCAAGCGUUCUUUGUGUAGUCACAGGUAACAGCUGACCAGCAUUAGUGGUGUAAGGCUUCUUACCAGGCAGUGUGUUCACAGUAACCGUUCUAUGUGCUGACAGGCUUUUCCCAAGUUCCUACACAUCAUACAUUGUUCCUGGGUUACUCGUUAACAGGACGUUUAUCCAGUCUUUAACCUUAACACCACCAUGACAAAUGGGUGUGUACAGGUGUUGUGCUAUACCGCGCCGUUCCUUUAGACGGUCCCUCUCUGAGGCCCGUGUCUUCAAUACCCUCUUGGAAUCUUCGCCUCGGCUUUCAUAUAAUUCUCUCCAUGGGGUUGGGCGGGUGCGUUUUUAAGGGAUGGUUAACCUGUCCCUCAGUAUCAGGACUGAGGUGUUUCCCACCUCCCUUUCCUGAGGCUCAGAACCUGAGCCCUGCUUGAAUGCUGGCCAGGUGCCUCCCUUACCUGCACCCCCGUGUGCUGCCAUCGAGGGCAGUUCUCUGCUUCCCCUGUCACCUCGGUCAUUUCCAUCAGCACACACACCACUGGCUCUUGCUUUUCCUUGGAGAUUUUGAAAACUAAAAUGAACAAUUUCUAGCCACCUUCCAUGCUUCCAAUUGUGAAGAGUGGAACCAUUUUAAUCAUGGCUUGUUUUGCUGCUUUAACGCCCCCCAUCCCCGCCCCCCUCCAGUAUGCUGUUGGGCUGGCCUUUUUCCACUGCCUUGUUGUCUUUUGCCGCUUCUCCGGUAUGCACUGCACGUGUCAUGGGAAAAUGCACGUUCCUUCCCUGGCUGCACUUGUAUAACGUUAUAGUGGCCGUAGCCAUUUUUACAGAGGGUGUAACUGUUUCCUUUGUGCUCACGGCGUUUUCAUGGACCCUUAGCGAAGGGACAGCCACCUUAAGGCUCAGUGCUCCUGCCUUUGGUGCGGUGUGCACCUCACCCCCGCUGGUGCUCCAGAGAGGCACUCUUCAUUUCACUUAGCUGCUGUUUUGUUACCAAACAACAGAAAGGAUCCAGAAUCUCUCCCCAUUCUCCUGGUUCUGGCUGCCCCUGCCACAUCCUCUGGUCCUUAUUUAAAACAAUAUUGAGCUUUAUAAAGCAUAGAAGUACCCAAAGGGAAGAAGUGGCAAAAGUGUCUGUCAGUUUUGCAGCUUUGAAUGAGAGAGUCAAAUGGAUUUUUAGUGGUAUUGUUUAAAAAAAACAAAACCAAUUUCAUCCUAAACCUACAAAACAGGCUUUACAAACCAGGACAGUCGGUUUAGGUCUGUUUAUACAUACACACACACACACUCUCACACACACUCUUGUUCUUUACAAUUAUUGUUACACAGCUGUACACGGAUUACGUUCCCUUUUAGACAUUCGGAGGUGGUUAAGUUUCAAUGGGAACCCCUUAUGUUCUUGUAGUGAUUGUGGCUAAAUGGUCCAUAGUCAAAUGAUUGAAAUCAGAUUGUCUGUCUCUCUGCCUGCAGUAGUUGUUUACAAUGGAUUGCCUUGGGAAAAGGGCCCAUUUUCCUUCAGAAUGGCUGCAAAGAAACCAAGAAUUCUCUUCCUAUAACACGUUCCUGCUUUAACAUUUCCACAAAGUUCAACUGCUUAAUCCCGCCCCUCCCGCCCGCUGUUAACUUGUCACUCUCUUUCCUUGAAUCACUUAUCUCCCAGUGACACCUGCAUCAAGCCAGAUAUCACCAUUCCACUGUCAUCCCAGGAGUCUGUGUGAUCCCAGCACGGGCUCCUCUUCCUCCUGGCCCUGUGCCCAGCAUGUUUUCCAGUCUCUCUCCAUUGCCUGCCUGCUUGUCAGGGCCUGAUCCUGCUGUUCUCGCAGAACCACCCCUCCUCUUGGACAUGGGCCUCCUCCCACUACCCAUUUAGCGGGGGGGCUCCUCAACUAGCCCCCAGCCCUCCUGGUUCCUUUUCUUCCUUCUCUUUCUCUCUCCUUGUUCUGGGGAGGUAAUUCUGCCAGGAAGGUGGCAAUCUUUUCUGUCAGAAGGCACCGGUACUCUGCUGUUACUAUUGUAUUAGACCCUUAUCUGUUCAGUCCAAAACACCUUAUGCUGCCCGCAUUGGCCACCACAUCGGUUACCCACACACUCCUGUAGCCUUCCGUGGGCUCAAGGCAUGGCCCAGUUAAUUGAGGCACCGCUGACCUGGGCUCUGGGCGAAAGGCACUACCCUUACCGCAUUCCUAGGGCUCAGGGUAAUUUGCAGGUUUGUGGGGCCCUUUGCCAGUGAAAGGGCCUCACACCGUAAUAUCCUUAACCGCUGUUCACCAACACUUCCCAACACAGAAUGUGCCCUCGGCGCGUACGCCGCUCACCACACCCUGGAGUUGUUCCCUUUGCCCCAGUGUAUACCGUGAAACUUGGGUCCUGCUUAGCUGGGCCGGAACCAGUCGGGAACCGAAGUGCUGCAAAGCAGCGUUUUUCCCCCAGCCCAGCCCUUACCAAACAGUCCUUACCCAGUCAGACCCCAGCACUGUCGCUGAUUUAAAUCUUGCAAAAUUAGUGACAUCACAGACAAAAACAAUCAAAGAAGCAGACAGAAACUCUACAGCUAAACAAUAGAGAAGUGGGAGGCAGAACGGCAAAAGAAUAGAAGUAGAGAUUUCACAACCCCAACUGCUGGGGGGUGGGUCCUUCCCAGACAGACGCUGUCAAACAAAGUUUUCUUUAAGCAUCUUAAGCUCUGUUUCUUUCGCUGGUGAUGCUGGGCACCAUUAGCACAGGAGCCUUCUGAGCAGCACCAUAUGACAUUGCUUUAAUGCAAUUUAGAGUGAAUGUCAGGAUGUGACUUUCUGCCUCUUAGCUCAUGGCUGCCGGUGUCCUACUGUGGCUGCCGCUGCUUACUGCAGAAAAAGGCCUCAGCCCUUACAGCCCGGCUUGCCCUGCUCCCUGGCACUCCUGUGGAGCACAGUGCUUGGUUAGUAACACCUGGCCGCUGGGAAAGGCCCUCCCUGUGCUAUAGCAAGGGGGCCCACAUCUCCUGCUUUUGGGUUGGGUGCAAACCCUCCCAGAUCUCCGGGCAGUCUCCUCCUUACCCCCACUGGCCAGAUCCCUCACCAGCCCAACAAGUCGGGUUCUCCCUGUCUGCCUCCCAUCCCACUGCCAUGUUCUGUUUGCACAGCUGCCCUGCUGUGCGGUGUCCCUGCAUCGUGUGACCUCAUUCACUCGCUCUAUCGCCUCAAAAGGUCUCUCCCAGCAGUCCUGCAUCUCGUUCUUCCUCACUGGAAUCCACGAGGCCUGGCUGCAGCCUGCCUGUCAGGCCGCGCUCUCCGGGACGCCUGGCUCCUAGCAGGUUCUGAUGCACCAGGUCCUUCACAGCCUUCACGUUCUCUUGAAAAGGCAGGACCGGCUCCCCACAGGCCAUCCUGUCUCCUCCGUGCUGCCUUCCAACGAGCCUCCCAUGAAACCUAGAGGUCCCCUCGCCUUUGUCUCGUGAAGGAGAUUGGCACUCACAGCCGUGAGUCACUCCAGACAGCGGGGCAGUCUCCCAUCAGGCUGUCAGAAAACAGGGCAGGCCCCUCAAACUGGGGGUGUGAUUCUGUCAUUAGAUUUCACCAAGCGAGUGACAACUGUGCGCUCCUGGAUCACUCCAUUCCCAUGGAGCCACGGACAGUCCCCGUACGGACAUCUUUCCACCCAGACACACAGGACUUGGUGACACUGGUCACUAUAGUAACAUCACAUCACAUCAACUCACUCCCAGCCCCAGAGGGCCAGUCACUCACCCCAAUGGAUACUCUUGAUCUCACACCAGAGGCUGUGCUGGCAGCCGAUUUCUCUAGUAAACAAGUUAAGGGUUUAUUAGCUCAGCAAAGGGAAUCAGCUCUUGAGAGGUUAAAGCAGGUAAAAUAGAGUAACAGGUGAACCCAGGUUUGUAAGUCCAAAGCGAUAGCAGAGAUGUGGUGAUCUGGGAGUUUUCCAUGAGUCUCCCAGGGAUACCCAGAGUAACUUUGGGGAUCUGUCUCUUCCAUGUGGAAGGCUUCCCUGUGAGUGGCCAAACAGUUUCGAGGAAUCUUUUAUGCCUUCGCCUAGAAAGCACGGUUCUGUUCCCACGUGGGCCAUCCUUGGCCGACGGUGCGUGAGGAAUGCAGACCGUGUCUGUGAAUUCCCAUCGAGAACUCAGUGGCCCUAGCUUUGAAGUUAGCAACCUUCUUCCUUUACAUUUCCAAGGCUCCAGUCGCAUUUGGUGAGUAAACGUCACUACCGGGCUAGACGCUGUGUGCGUGGUAAUGGAAUAGCCCACAACGAGCCUUCCUUAGUUUUCAUGAAGUAAAGUACAUUUGCAUCUCAGUGCUAACACACCCUUUGGAUGUGGGGUUAAUUAAGUACAGGGAUAUACAUAAUGUAAUGGAUACCAAUCAACAGGUUAUAGAUACAUGAAGAUGAGCAUUCACGUUCCCUUUGCACUCAAUGAACACUGGAGUGAAUUAAUUCACUUAGCGUUUCUUUGGUGGUCACCCACUACUGAAUCGGCCCAUUGACCUGAGCUGGCCUGUCAGCAUCACAGAGAUAAAAGGGGGUAAAUCCCAUAGGCUCUGCGGGGGACACUCCUGUACCCAAAUAACAAAUCGGGGAGCAACUAGCUGUAACAUACAGCGUCCGCAUAGACUUCAGCGCCGCAUGGACUCUUUCCACUGACCGCUAGUCGCUGGGCGAUAGUGGCAGCUUUCACAUCCCUCGCUCCGCUCAACACCCGUCACUUUUUGAAAACUGCAGACAUGAAAUUUGCACCCAGUCCCACAAGAUUUCCCAACUCGGCCAGAAACGGCGACUAGGGCAGUAGCCGCAGUUUCAGCUUCUGUAUCGGACAGACCUGGGGCUUCCAGGCACCUGGUGGCAGCACCCACCACUCCCAGUCGCUUUCUUUCCGUUCCUGGGAGGGGUCCCACAAUGUCCCCGGACCUUCUGGCAAACACCUUAGCAAUAGGUAGUGGCCACAGGGUCUGUAACCGCUGGCGCGUCUGGCACGACUUGUGCUGUGAUUUUCACUGUCUCAAAUGCAAGGCCAGGAGCCGUGUUUGAGCCUCGCACGGUUCUCUCCUUGCCUCAGUCUCCAGCACAGGGGCAGUCACGAGCCACGUGCAGCAACUCAGGCCUGCCCUGAUCAGGCCCAACACCUGCUUGCAAAGCCCAGCAUGGUGCCUCUUCCCCUAUGCACGGCAAACCUCGAAAAGCCAAUGGCGAUGUUAUCCUGAGCCACCUUCCUCUCCCUGCACAAGGUCAGCCUGGUGAGCCUCCAUAAACUCCCUGGGAGCCUCACUCGCGUUAGGAGCCGACUCUGGCAAAGCAACGGACUCUCCAAACCCUCCCCAGGGGACAAACGGUUACUUUCCGCUGGCAAAGGCCUGAGGACGUUUCUCCCCCCGCAGCCCUCCCUGCUGGCCACAGAUAAGCCAGGAGAGGCAGAGCCAGACUUCUGGCUGCGAGUUCUGAUAUUAUCCUGCUUAGACGUGGCUCCAGUGUCCUUACCUCAUAAAACAGGAGUGGGAAGCAGAUUCCUAAUGCCCAGAAUAAUCCCCUUGGAAAGUCCUCACGCUCCAGGGAAACCAUGGCCAAAAGUAGAGAUACAGAGCUAAUCUUUGGAGGGAGGAGUACCAAAGAAGCCCACCACAGGAGCAUUAACUCAGAAAAGGAGAAUACACAGGAACGAGGAAGCUAGUUACGUGGAAAUGAAAAGGAGUGAAAUGCCUGCAAGCUGCGUGGAAACGUUUUAAACACACCAUAAUAGAGGCACAAAUUAAGCAGACUAAGAACUACCCCAAUGAAUACGAGAGGCAGGGAGAGGCGAAAAGCUGCCCUUUCACCACUGGACGGGAAAUCCGCUGGAGGAAAUAGGAGGGGGCAUGAACUCUGGCAAGUCAAGAUUUUGUAUUAUUAGGCAGGCAAAAAAAAGGAAAAAAAAGAAGACUUUGAAGAGCAACUAGCAAAAGACACAAA
Gopherus evgoodei (Goodes thornscrub tortoise) is the source of this 10182-nucleotide long non-coding RNA. RefSeq lists it as uncharacterized. The record is from RefSeq and is a predicted model, not a curated record. The transcript is spliced from 2 exons. Lineage: Eukaryota; Metazoa; Chordata; Testudines; Testudinidae.